CGGAACGAAUCCCACUUGGCAGGGAACUCGACUGUAGAUCGAGCUGCUGCACGUUCGAGGCGUGCCGUUCCGA
RNAcentral lists this transfer RNA (73 nucleotides) under Halococcus saccharolyticus DSM 5350. Its description in RNAcentral is "tRNA-OTHER". Lineage: Archaea; Methanobacteriati; Methanobacteriota; Halobacteria; Halobacteriales; Halococcaceae. The record is from RNAcentral.